RNAcentral lists this ribosomal RNA (38 nucleotides) under Colletotrichum truncatum. Its description in RNAcentral is "partial 18S ribosomal RNA". The record is from RNAcentral. Lineage: Eukaryota; Fungi; Ascomycota; Sordariomycetes; Glomerellales; Glomerellaceae.
UCUACUGAUCUCAUCAACCCUUUGUGAACAUACCUUAA